Molecule: ribosomal RNA, 2929 nt
Filed under: Escherichia coli O22:H8
Lineage: Bacteria; Pseudomonadati; Pseudomonadota; Gammaproteobacteria; Enterobacterales; Enterobacteriaceae
Description: 23S ribosomal RNA
Rfam family: Bacterial large subunit ribosomal RNA
Source: RNAcentral
GGGUUGUGAGGUUAAGCGACUAAGCGUACACGGUGGAUGCCCUGGCAGUCAGAGGCGAUGAAGGACGUGCUAAUCUGCGAUAAGCGUCGGUAAGGUGAUAUGAACCGUUAUAACCGGCGAUUUCCGAAUGGGGAAACCCAGUGUGAUUCGUCACACUAUCAUUAACUGAAUCCAUAGGUUAAUGAGGCGAACCGGGGGAACUGAAACAUCUAAGUACCCCGAGGAAAAGAAAUCAACCGAGAUUCCCCCAGUAGCGGCGAGCGAACGGGGAGCAGCCCAGAGCCUGAAUCAGUGUGUGUGUUAGUGGAAGCGUCUGGAAAGGCGCGCGAUACAGGGUGACAGCCCCGUACACAAAAAUGCACAUGCUGUGAGCUCGAUGAGUAGGGCGGGACACGUGGUAUCCUGUCUGAAUAUGGGGGACCAUCCUCCAAGGCUAAAUACUCCUGACUGACCGAUAGUGAACCAGUACCGUGAGGGAAAGGCGAAAAGAACCCCGGCGAGGGGAGUGAAAAAGAACCUGAAACCGUGUACGUACAAGCAGUGGGAGCACGCUUAGGCGUGUGACUGCGUACCUUUUGUAUAAUGGGUCAGCGACUUAUAUUCUGUAGCAAGGUUAACCGAAUAGGGGAGCCGAAGGGAAACCGAGUCUUAACUGGGCGUUAAGUUGCAGGGUAUAGACCCGAAACCCGGUGAUCUAGCCAUGGGCAGGUUGAAGGUUGGGUAACACUAACUGGAGGACCGAACCGACUAAUGUUGAAAAAUUAGCGGAUGACUUGUGGCUGGGGGUGAAAGGCCAAUCAAACCGGGAGAUAGCUGGUUCUCCCCGAAAGCUAUUUAGGUAGCGCCUCGUGAAUUCAUCUCCGGGGGUAGAGCACUGUUUCGGCAAGGGGGUCAUCCCGACUUACCAACCCGAUGCAAACUGCGAAUACCGGAGAAUGUUAUCACGGGAGACACACGGCGGGUGCUAACGUCCGUCGUGAAGAGGGAAACAACCCAGACCGCCAGCUAAGGUCCCAAAGUCAUGGUUAAGUGGGAAACGAUGUGGGAAGGCCCAGACAGCCAGGAUGUUGGCUUAGAAGCAGCCAUCAUUUAAAGAAAGCGUAAUAGCUCACUGGUCGAGUCGGCCUGCGCGGAAGAUGUAACGGGGCUAAACCAUGCACCGAAGCUGCGGCAGCGACACUAUGUGUUGUUGGGUAGGGGAGCGUUCUGUAAGCCUGUGAAGGUGUGCUGUGAGGUAUGCUGGAGGUAUCAGAAGUGCGAAUGCUGACAUAAGUAACGAUAAAGCGGGUGAAAAGCCCGCUCGCCGGAAGACCAAGGGUUCCUGUCCAACGUUAAUCGGGGCAGGGUGAGUCGACCCCUAAGGCGAGGCCGAAAGGCGUAGUCGAUGGGAAACAGGUUAAUAUUCCUGUACUUGGUGUUACUGCGAAGGGGGGACGGAGAAGGCUAUGUUGGCCGGGCGACGGUUGUCCCGGUUUAAGCGUGUAGGCUGGUUUUCCAGGCAAAUCCGGAAAAUCAAGGCUGAGGCGUGAUGACGAGGCACUACGGUGCUGAAGCAACAAAUGCCCUGCUUCCAGGAAAAGCCUCUAAGCAUCAGGUAACAUCAAAUCGUACCCCAAACCGACACAGGUGGUCAGGUAGAGAAUACCAAGGCGCUUGAGAGAACUCGGGUGAAGGAACUAGGCAAAAUGGUGCCGUAACUUCGGGAGAAGGCACGCUGAUAUGUAGGUGAAGUCCCUCGCGGAUGGAGCUGAAAUCAGUCGAAGAUACCAGCUGGCUGCAACUGUUUAUUAAAAACACAGCACUGUGCAAACACGAAAGUGGACGUAUACGGUGUGACGCCUGCCCGGUGCCGGAAGGUUAAUUGAUGGGGUCAGCGCAAGCGAAGCUCUUGAUCGAAGCCCCGGUAAACGGCGGCCGUAACUAUAACGGUCCUAAGGUAGCGAAAUUCCUUGUCGGGUAAGUUCCGACCUGCACGAAUGGCGUAAUGAUGGCCAGGCUGUCUCCACCCGAGACUCAGUGAAAUUGAACUCGCUGUGAAGAUGCAGUGUACCCGCGGCAAGACGGAAAGACCCCGUGAACCUUUACUAUAGCUUGACACUGAACAUUGAGCCUUGAUGUGUAGGAUAGGUGGGAGGCUUUGAAGUGUGGACGCCAGUCUGCAUGGAGCCGACCUUGAAAUACCACCCUUUAAUGUUUGAUGUUCUAACGUUGACCCGUAAUCCGGGUUGCGGACAGUGUCUGGUGGGUAGUUUGACUGGGGCGGUCUCCUCCUAAAGAGUAACGGAGGAGCACGAAGGUUGGCUAAUCCUGGUCGGACAUCAGGAGGUUAGUGCAAUGGCAUAAGCCAGCUUGACUGCGAGCGUGACGGCGCGAGCAGGUGCGAAAGCAGGUCAUAGUGAUCCGGUGGUUCUGAAUGGAAGGGCCAUCGCUCAACGGAUAAAAGGUACUCCGGGGAUAACAGGCUGAUACCGCCCAAGAGUUCAUAUCGACGGCGGUGUUUGGCACCUCGAUGUCGGCUCAUCACAUCCUGGGGCUGAAGUAGGUCCCAAGGGUAUGGCUGUUCGCCAUUUAAAGUGGUACGCGAGCUGGGUUUAGAACGUCGUGAGACAGUUCGGUCCCUAUCUGCCGUGGGCGCUGGAGAACUGAGGGGGGCUGCUCCUAGUACGAGAGGACCGGAGUGGACGCAUCACUGGUGUUCGGGUUGUCAUGCCAAUGGCACUGCCCGGUAGCUAAAUGCGGAAGAGAUAAGUGCUGAAAGCAUCUAAGCACGAAACUUGCCCCGAGAUGAGUUCUCCCUGACUCCUUGAGAGUCCUGAAGGAACGUUGAAGACGACGACGUUGAUAGGCCGGGUGUGUAAGCGCAGCGAUGCGUUGAGCUAACCGGUACUAAUGAACCGUGAGGCUUAACCUUACAACGCCGAAGGUGUUU